This 493-nucleotide ribosomal RNA is filed under the name uncultured bacterium. Its description in RNAcentral is "partial 16S ribosomal RNA". It matches the Rfam family "Bacterial small subunit ribosomal RNA", at positions 29 to 507 of the family's 1533-position model. The record is from RNAcentral.
ACGAACGCUGGCGGCGUGCUUAACACAUGCAAGUCGAACGGUGAAGCGCCUUCCUUUUUGGUGGGUGUGGAUGAGUGGCGAACGGGUGAGUAGCACGUGAGUAACCUGCCCCCUUCUUCUGGAUAACCGCAUGAAAGUGUGGCUAAUACGGGAUAUUCUGGGUCUGUCGCAUGAUGGGUCUGGGAAAGAUAUUGGUUCGGUGGGGGAUGGGCUCGCGGCCUAUCAGCUUGCUGGUGGGGUGAUGGCCUACCAAGGCGGUGACGGGUAGCCGGCCUGAGAGGGUGGCCGGUCACACUGGGACUGAGACACGGCCCAGACUGCUACGGGAGGCAGCAGUGGGGAAUAUUGCACGAUGGGCGCAAGCCUGAUGCAGCGUCGCCGCGUGAGGGAUGGAGGCCUUCGGGUUGUGAACCUCUUUCGCCAGUGAAGCAGGCCUGCCUCGUUUGUGGGUGGGUUGACGGUAGCUGGAUAAGAAGCGCCGGCUAACUACGUG